GGGUCCGUAGCUCAGCGGUCAGAGCCACCGGCUCAUAACCGGCGGGUCCCUGGUUCAAAUCCAGGCGGACCCA
RNAcentral lists this transfer RNA (73 nucleotides) under Acidobacteriota bacterium. RNAcentral describes it as "tRNA-Ile". It matches the Rfam family "tRNA". From Rfam's summary of the family: Transfer RNA (tRNA) molecules are approximately 80 nucleotides in length. Their secondary structure includes four short double-helical elements and three loops (D, anti-codon, and T loops). Lineage: Bacteria; Pseudomonadati; Acidobacteriota. The record is from RNAcentral.